CCCUUCCGCCCCCGUUUUCUCAGCGCCAGAAAUCCAGUGUUGUAUAACGUGUAAAAUGGCUGGGUCGGGACAUAUGCUUACUUCCCGGGAUUAGCAAGGCAGCCAGAGGAUGACUAUAAGGAGAGUGAAGAAACUGGCCAGUUAAUGUGUCUGCCAGAAUGAGUGUACGGCCUCGCUCUGGUCAGAGAGGUGACCGGACAUCGUGUUCUGCCAGGCGGGAGGAGUAAGCCGCCUUGAAUUCCCUGUUUCUCCCCCACUUCACUGUACGUGAUAAGUGAUCAGUCUCCGCGUCACUCGACCUCCACGGAUGAGCCCGUCAAGCCAGCAAGGCCGAUUCGUACCGAAAGGCUCUGUGUAGAGGUUUCAUUUCGUUUUCCUUUCUCUAAUUGGGGUUUUACGCGUACCGCGAGUCUCCAAAAUGUAGUGUUUAUUUACUUCAGCCCUGCAGAGGCCUCCACGAUCAGCGUAACCUAUUGGGCCUCAGCUCUUUCUAACAAAACUUAGUACUUUGAUAAAACUAACUUGUUUGUAACAUACUAAUUAUGGUGUGUUGAGCUUUCCUUCUAUGCCUUUCAUAUGUACUCCGAAUGAAGACCCGAGUAUAUAACACUGAAUACGUGGUCUGGAAGCAGAUGAGUGCUUGUUAUAAUAGGACUUAAAGAAUAUUCUGUUAGCCGGGCGUUGGUGGCACACGCCUUUAAUCACAGCACUUGGGAGGCAGAGGCAGGCGGAUCUCUGUCAGUUCGAGACCAGCCUGGUCUACAGAGCUAGUUCCAGGACAGGUUCCAAAGCCACAGAGAAACCCUGUCUUG
Molecule: small RNA, 812 nt
Filed under: Microtus rossiaemeridionalis
Lineage: Eukaryota; Metazoa; Chordata; Mammalia; Rodentia; Cricetidae
Description: Microtus levis (East European vole) Enox non-coding RNA
Source: RNAcentral